This 589-nucleotide ribosomal RNA is filed under the name uncultured bacterium. Its description in RNAcentral is "partial 16S ribosomal RNA". It matches the Rfam family "Bacterial small subunit ribosomal RNA", at positions 355 to 1375 of the family's 1533-position model. The record is from RNAcentral.
UGGGGAAUUUUGGACAAUGGGCGAAAGCCUGAUCCAGCAAUGCCGCGUGUGUGAAGAAGGCCUUCGGGUUGUAAAGCACUUUUGUCCGGAAAGAAAUCCUUGGCUCUAAUACAGUCGGGGGAUGACGGUACCGGAAGAAUAAGCACCGGCUAACUACGUGCCAGCAGCCGCGGUAAUACGUAGGGUGCAAGCGUUAAUCGGAAUUACUGGGCGUAAAGCGUGCGCAGGCGGUUUGCUAAGACCGAUGUGAAAUCCCCGGGCUCAACCUGGGGACUGCAUUGGUGACUGGCAGGCUAGAGUAUGGCAGAGGGGGGUAGAAUUCCACGUGUAGCAGUGAAAUGCGUAGAGAUGUGGAGGAAUACCGAUGGCGAAGGCAGCCCCCUGGGCCAAUACUGACGCUCAUGCACGAAAAGCGUGGGGAGCAAAACAGGAUUAGAUACCCUGGUAGUCCACGCCCUAAAACGAUGUCAACUAGUUGUUGGGGAUUCAUUUCCUUAGUAACGUAGCUAAACGCGUGAAGUUGACCGCCUGGGGAGUACGGUCGCAAGAUUAAAACUCAAAUGAAUUGACGGGGUCAUAGCUGUUUCCU